GACGAACGCUGGCGGCGUGCUUAACACAUGCAAGUCGAACGAAGAGCGAUGGAAGCUUGCUUCUAUCAAUCUUAGUGGCGAACGGGUGAGGAACGCGUAAUCAACCUGCCCUUCAGAGGGGGACAACAGUUGGAAACGACUGCUAAUACCGCAUACGAUCUGACCUCGGCAUCGAGGAUAGAUGAAAGGUGGCCUCUAUUUAUAAGCUAUCACGGAAGGAGGGGAUUGCGUCUGAUUAGCGAGUUGGAGGGGUAACGGCCCACCAAGGCGAUGAUCAGUAGCCGGUCUGAGAGGAUGAACGGCCACAUUGGGACUGAGACACGGCCCAGACUCCUACGGGAGGCAGCAGUGGGGAAUCUUCCGCAAUGGACGAAAGUCUGACGGAGCAACGCCGCGUGAGUGAUGACGGCCUUCGGGUUGUAAAGCUCUGUUAAUCGGGACGAAAGGCCUUCUUGCGAAUAGUUAGAAGGAUUGACGGUACCGGAAUAGAAAGCCACGGCUAACUACGUG
Molecule: ribosomal RNA, 510 nt
Filed under: uncultured bacterium
Lineage: Bacteria
Description: partial 16S ribosomal RNA
Rfam family: Bacterial small subunit ribosomal RNA
Source: RNAcentral